RNAcentral lists this ribosomal RNA (236 nucleotides) under uncultured bacterium. Its description in RNAcentral is "partial 16S ribosomal RNA". It matches the Rfam family "Bacterial small subunit ribosomal RNA", at positions 541 to 776 of the family's 1533-position model. The record is from RNAcentral.
UUGUUCGGAAUUACUGGGCGUAAAGCGCACGUAGGCGGCUUUGUAAGUUAGAGGUGAAAGCCCGGAGCUCAACUCCGGAAUAGCCUUUAAGACUGCAUCGCUAGAACGUUGGAGAGGUAAGUGGAAUUCCGAGUGUAGAGGUGAAAUUCGUAGAUAUUCGGAAGAACACCAGUGGCGAAGGCGACUGACUGGACAACUGUUGACGCUGAGGUGCGAAAGCGUGGGGAGCAAACAGG